This 422-nucleotide ribosomal RNA is filed under the name uncultured bacterium. Its description in RNAcentral is "bacterial SSU rRNA". It matches the Rfam family "Bacterial small subunit ribosomal RNA", at positions 362 to 775 of the family's 1533-position model. The record is from RNAcentral.
UCUUCCGCAAUGGACGAAAGUCUGACGGAGCAACGCCGCGUGAGUGAUGAAGGUUUUUGGAUCGUAAAGCUCUGUUGUUAGGGAAGAACAAGUGCCGUUCAAAUAGGGCGGCGCCUUGACGGUACUUAACUAGAAAGCCACGGCUAACUACGUGGCAGCAGCCGCGGUCAUACGUAGGUGGCAAGCGUUGUCCAGAAUUAUUGGGCGUAAAGGGCUCGCAGGCGGUUUCUUAAGUCUGAUGUGAAAGCCCCCGGCUCAACCGGGGAGGGUCAUGGGAAACUGGGGAACUUGAGUGCAGAAGAGGAGAGUGGAAUUCCACGUGUAGCGGUGAAAUGCGUAGAGAUGUGGAGGAACACCAGUGGCGAAGGCGACUCUCUGGUCUGUAACUGACGCUGAGGAGCGAAAGCGUGGGGAGCGAACAG